RNAcentral lists this ribosomal RNA (253 nucleotides) under uncultured bacterium. RNAcentral describes it as "partial 16S ribosomal RNA". It matches the Rfam family "Bacterial small subunit ribosomal RNA", at positions 524 to 776 of the family's 1533-position model. RNAcentral also lists the same sequence under 1 other name. The record is from RNAcentral.
UACGUAGGGUGCAAGCGUUGUCCGGAAUUAUUGGGCGUAAAGAGCUCGUAGGCGGUCUGUCGCGUCGGCUGUGAAAUCUCGGGGCUCAACCCCGAGCCUGCAGUCGAUACGGGCAGACUAGAGUGCUGUAGGGGAGACUGGAAUUCCUGGUGUAGCGGUGAAAUGCGCAGAUAUCAGGAGGAACACCGGUGGCGAAGGCGGGUCUCUGGGCAGUAACUGACGCUGAGGAGCGAAAGCGUGGGGAGCGAACAGG